This 329-nucleotide ribosomal RNA is filed under the name uncultured eukaryote. RNAcentral's name for it is "partial 18S ribosomal RNA". It matches the Rfam family "Eukaryotic small subunit ribosomal RNA", at positions 1470 to 1796 of the family's 1831-position model. The record is from RNAcentral.
CCCUUAGAUGUUCUGGGCCGCACGCGCGCUACACUGACGAAUUCAACGAGUCUAAAACCUGCUCUGAUAGGGGUGGGUAAUCUUUUGAAUGUGCAUCGUGAUUGGGAUAGAUGAUUGCAAUUUUUCAUCUUCAACGAGGAAUGCCUAGUAAACGCAAGUCAUCAGCUUGCAUUGAUUACGUCCCUGCCCUUUGUACACACCGCCCGUCGCUCCUACCGAUUGAAUGAUCCGAUGAAUAUCAUGGAUUGAGGAUGCAAGUAGGUUCGCCUAUCUUCAUCUUCGAGAAGUGAAGUAAAUCUUAUCAUUUAGAGGAAGGAGAAGUCGUAACA